CCUACGGGUGGCAGCAGUGAGGAAUAUUGCACAAUGGGGGGGACCCUGAUGCAGCAACGCCGCGUGAAGGAAGACGGUUUUCGGAUUGGAAACUUCUAUCAAUAGGGGAGUAAGAAAUGACGAUACCUCAAUAAGAAGCCCCGGCUAACUACGUGCCAGCAGCCGCGGUGAUACGUAGGGGGCAAGCGUUAUCCGGAAUUACUGGGUGUAAAGGGAGAGUAGGCGGCAAGGUAAGCGAUAUGUGAAAGCCUUAGGCUUAAACUGAAGAUUGGAUAAAGAACUAGCUAGCUAGAGUACAGGUGAGGAAAGCGGAAUUCCUAGUGUAGCGGUGAAAUGCGUAGAUAUUAGGAAGAACACCAGAGGCGAAGGCGGCCUUAUGGACUGAAACUGACGCUGAGGCUCGAAAGCGUGGGGAGCGAACAGGAUUAGAUACCCGAGUAGUC
This 443-nucleotide ribosomal RNA is filed under the name uncultured bacterium. Its description in RNAcentral is "partial 16S ribosomal RNA". It matches the Rfam family "Bacterial small subunit ribosomal RNA", at positions 338 to 795 of the family's 1533-position model. The record is from RNAcentral.